Dermacentor andersoni is the source of this 1624-nucleotide long non-coding RNA. RefSeq lists it as uncharacterized. The record is from RefSeq and is a predicted model, not a curated record. NCBI's taxonomy places the organism in Eukaryota, Metazoa, Arthropoda, Arachnida, Ixodida, Ixodidae.
CUGGACAUCCAGAGGUUAGGCUGCAUUAAAAAAUUCACCAUCUUUCCUGGUGUGAUUGGCUCAUAAGGCGGUGAAGCCCUCUCUGAUUGUGUGAGAAAUAAACAUGGUGAAAUCUGAGAACAUAGUGGAGUUUGAUGCGUCCAGACUAGAAACCCAGUGUCUCGUGUUGUCACGUUUUUCACCGUGCUUCUCACAUACGUACGCCAUGCUCCGCUUUCUUUUAUAUUGCUCAUCGCUGCCGUGAGCGGCCGGCACGUGAUGGACCUGGUCGUGUCGUGCACCCUUCUGUCGGGCAAGGACGACGCUAGCGUUUCGACCAUCGUCACCAGGUCCAGUGUGGGAGGCAGCAAUGUGGCAAGCUAUAGGAGCCAGUCCAGUAAGAGGAUGCCGGUGUUUCGUGCAUAUUUACUAGGUCCAGCUUGGGAGGCAGCAACGUGGCCAACUGUACGAGCCAGUCCAGUAAGUUCUCCUGUAGGACCACCGGACACUCGGGCAGUCAUACAUUGGCGUCGCCCCAACGGCCAACUCGACUAUCGCGAGCUGCUCGAGCCUUCAGCAAAUGGGUGACACCCGCCGUAGCCACCAAGGCGACCAGCAACCUCUCCUCGAGGUGGACGGCGUAGCCGUCACUCGGGCAGAACACCAGCACCACAAGUCCCAGAAAAGUGGCCGCAUCGGGAAGGUCCAUGGCCAUGUAAUGCCGACUGCCCGUGCGGAUACAGUUUGCAGGCUUGUUGCGGAGCAGGCAGGAAGCUGUACGUCGGGCUGAAGGAAGCAGUUGACGUAUUUGUUGUAAACUGAAAUCUCCGUGACAUCCACAAAGAGCAAUGUGCUCAUCGUCAGUGGCGAUGAUGGCGAGGACCUCCCCACCACGGACUUGGAACGACAAUCCCUCGAUCGGGAGCAACUUGCUGCCGGACCGCCGAACAGCCGCUGACCCAGGCUGGAGAAGUUCAACUGGAACGUCAAGUAUCGAACCGGCGUCAGAGUGGCCACAUCUAUCAUCACGACAACGAGGCAACUGACACCAUUGCUGGAAAUCCCGACAAACGCCUGGUUACGCACACACAUACACAAAAAUAAAGACUCAAAACAGCGCUGGCCACAAGGCCAGAAGAAUACGACGAUGGCGGCGUUCAGCGCCGAUGACGUGCAAGACAACUCGCGCUUUCGUACCGCGAGUCUAACUAAUGAGUAUUUGCGGGGUAGAUCUUCGGUAGCCUCAGGAGAUGUUAGGGCGGGUCAUUGAAAUAGAGCUCGGUAACACAGGCUUACGGAGUUACCCUGUUGGUAACGGCAGAGGAAACGCGACGAGCGAAACGUUGGUGGAUGGCAUGAAUGGCCCAAAGAACGGAAAACCACGCACGACGGCAAAAUGUGAUGUUCACGGGAGCGUAUUCGCGCAAUGUGUUCUUCAUCCAGUCACCAAGGUGUUUUUGCACCCUUUUAACCCUGUACUGCACAACGCAGAUUCUGUAUAGUGCGCGUUUGAGGCUUCGUAAUUUAAAUUUGCGCACGUGGAACACAAGUAGUCGUAUUAAUUCACCAUCAGGGCAUUUUUGUGUCCACUACAUGACGAAGGCCUCUCCCAGCGAUCUCUCGUUACGGCUAGGAGGAGAGGGAG